Non-coding RNA from Arachis ipaensis, 133 nucleotides. Lineage: Eukaryota; Viridiplantae; Streptophyta; Magnoliopsida; Fabales; Fabaceae. The record is from RefSeq and is a predicted model, not a curated record.
GCGGCGGUGCUAAGGACCUGGGACGGCGGCGGCGCUCAUGACCUGGGUUAGGCGGCGACGAUGGAGGGCUAGGCGGCUAGGGUUUCUUCGAUUCAGAGCAAGAUGAAUGAAUGAAUGAUUGGGGAAGAGGGGG